UACGAAGGGGGCUAGCGUUGCUCGGAAUCACUGGGCGUAAAGCGCACGUAGGCGGACUCUUAAGUCGGUGGUGAAAUCCUGGAGCUCAACUCCAGAACUGCCUUCGAUACUGAGAGUCUCGAGUCCGAGAGAGGUGAGUGGAACUGCGAGUGUAGAGGUGAAAUUCGUAGAUAUUCGCAAGAACACCAGUGGCGAAGGCGGCUCACUGGACCGGAACUGACGCUGAGGCGCGAAAAGCGUGGGGAGCAAACGGG
This 254-nucleotide ribosomal RNA is filed under the name uncultured bacterium. Its description in RNAcentral is "partial 16S ribosomal RNA". It matches the Rfam family "Bacterial small subunit ribosomal RNA", at positions 524 to 776 of the family's 1533-position model. The record is from RNAcentral.